Molecule: ribosomal RNA, 1477 nt
Filed under: uncultured Bordetella sp.
Lineage: Bacteria; Pseudomonadati; Pseudomonadota; Betaproteobacteria; Burkholderiales; Alcaligenaceae
Description: partial 16S-23S ribosomal RNA intergenic spacer
Rfam family: Bacterial small subunit ribosomal RNA
Source: RNAcentral
AGUUCGAUUAUGGCUCAGAUUGAACGCUGGCGGGAUGCUUUACACAUGCAAGUCGAACUGGCAGCACGGACUUCGGUCUGGUGGCGGUGGCGAACGGGUGGUAAUGUAUCGGAACGUGCCUAGUAGCGGGGAUAACUACGCGAAAGCGUAGCUAAUACCACGUGCAUACCCUUCGGGGAAAAGCGGGGACCUUCGGGCCUCGCACUGAUAGAGCGGCCGAUAUCGGAUUAGCUAGUUGGUGGGGUAACGGCUCACCAAGGCGACGAUCAAGCCAGCUGGUUUGAGAGGACGACCAGCCACACUGGGACUGAGACGGCUCCAGACUCCUACGGGAGGCAACGGAAAUUUUGGACAAUGGAAACCUGAUCCAGCCAUCCCGCGUGUGCGAUGAAGGCCUUCGGGUUGUAAAGCACUUUUGGCAGGAAAGAAACGGCACGGGAUAAUACCCCGUGCAACUGACCAUUCCUGGGAAUAAGCACCGGCUAACUACGUUAUGGCAACCGCGGUAAUACGUAGGGUGCAAGCGUUAAUCGGAAUUACUGGGCGUAAAGCGUGCAGGCGGUUCGGAAAGAAGAUGUGAAAUCCCAGAGCUUAACUUUGGAACUGCAUUUUUAACUACCGAGCUAGAGUGUGUCAGAGGGAGGUGGAAUUCGCGUGUAGCAGUGAAAUGCGUAGAUAUGCGGAGGAACACCGAUGGCGAAAGCAGCCUCCUGGGAUAACGCGACGCUCAUGCACGAAAGCGUGGGAGCAAACAGGAUUAGAUACCCUGGUAGUCCACGCCCUAAACGUAUCGCCCAACUAGCAUGUUGGGGCCUUCGGGCCUUGGUAGCGCAGCUAACGCAUGAAGUUGACCGCCUGGGGAGGUACAGUCGCAAGAUUAAAAACUCAAGAAUUGACGGGGACCCGCACAAGCAGUGGAUGAUGUGUGGAUUAAUUCGAUGCAACGCGAAAACCUUACCUACCCAUGACAUGUCUGGAAUCCCGAAGAGAUUUGGGAGUGCUCGCAAGAGAACCGGAACACAGGUGCUGCAUGGCUGUCGUCAGCUCGUGUCUGAUGAGAUGUUGGGUUAAGUCCCGCAACGAGCGCAACCCUUGUCAUUAGUUGCUACGAAGGGCACUCUAAUGAAGCUGCCGGUGACAAACCGGAGGAAGGUGGGGAUGACGUCCAGGUCCUCAUGACCCUUAUGGUGGGGCUUCACACGUCAUGCAAUGGUCGGGACAGAGGGUCGCCAACCCGCGAGGAGCCAAUCAGAAACCCGAUCGUAGUCCGGAUCGCAGUCUGCAACUCGACUGCGUGAAGUCGGAGAAAUCGCUAAUCGCGCGGAUCAACAUGUCGCGGUGAGGCCGAUUCCCGGGUCUUGUACACACCGCCCGUCACACCAUGGGAGUGGGUUUUGCAGAAGUAGUUAGCCUAACCGUAAGGAGGGCGAUUACCACGGUAGGAUUCAUGACUGGGGUGAAGUCGCCCAACAAGAUA